UGGGAAUGAUUCUGAUGAUGAUGAUG
RNAcentral lists this non-coding RNA (26 nucleotides) under Homo sapiens (human). The record is from RNAcentral. Lineage: Eukaryota; Metazoa; Chordata; Mammalia; Primates; Hominidae.